RNAcentral lists this ribosomal RNA (253 nucleotides) under uncultured Eubacteriales bacterium. RNAcentral describes it as "uncultured Clostridiales bacterium partial 16S ribosomal RNA". It matches the Rfam family "Bacterial small subunit ribosomal RNA", at positions 524 to 776 of the family's 1533-position model. The record is from RNAcentral. Lineage: Bacteria; Bacillati; Bacillota; Clostridia; Eubacteriales.
UACGUAGGGGGCAAGCGUUAUCCGGAAUUACUGGGUGUAAAGGGAGCGUAGACGGUUAAGUAAGUCUGGAGUGAAAGGCCGGGGCCCAACCCCGGGACUGCUCUGGAAACUAUUGAACUUGAGUGCAGGAGAGGUAAGCGGAAUUCCUAGUGUAGCGGUGAAAUGCGUAGAUAUUAGGAGGAACACCAGUGGCGAAGGCGGCUUACUGGACCAUUAUUGACGCUGAGGAACGAAAGCCAGGGGAGCAAAUGGG